This is a non-coding RNA of Phrynosoma platyrhinos (Desert horned lizard), 72 nucleotides long. The record is from the annotation of a GenBank genome assembly. Lineage: Eukaryota; Metazoa; Chordata; Lepidosauria; Squamata; Phrynosomatidae.
GCCAGUGUAGUGUAGUGGUUUGAGCAUUGGACUGUGACUCAGGAGGCCAGGGUUCAAAUCCCCACUUGGAUA